CCUACGGGAGGCAGCAGUGGGGGAUAUUGCACAAUGGGGGAAACCCUGAUGCAGCGACGCCGCGUGUGGGAAGACGGUCCUCUGGAUUGUAAACCACUGUCCCCAGGGACGAAGAUGACGGUACCUGGGGAGGAAGCUCCGGCUAACUACGUGCCAGCAGCCGCGGAAAUACGUAGGGAGCGAGCGUUGUCCGGAAUUACUGGGUGUAAAGGGAGCGUAGGCGGGACUGCAAGUUGGGUGUCAAAUCUACCGGCUCAACCGGUAGCCGCACUCAAAACUGCAGUUCUUGAGUGAAGUAGAGGCAGGCGGAAUUCCUAGUGUAGCGGUGAAAUGCGUAGAUAUUAGGAGGAACACCAGUGGCGAAGGCGGCCUGCUGGGCUUUUACUGACGCUGAGGCUCGAAAGUGUGGGGAGCAAACAGGAUUAGAUACCCUGGUAGUC
Molecule: ribosomal RNA, 440 nt
Filed under: uncultured bacterium
Lineage: Bacteria
Description: partial 16S ribosomal RNA
Rfam family: Bacterial small subunit ribosomal RNA
Source: RNAcentral